AUUGAACGCUGGCGGCAUGCCUUACACAUGCAAGUCGAACGGCAGCAUGAUCUAGCUUGCUAGAUUGAUGGCGAGUGGCGAACGGGUGAGUAAUACAUCGGAACGUGCCCUGUAGUGGGGGAUAACUAGUCGAAAGAUUAGCUAAUACCGCAUACGACCUGAGGGUGAAAGUGGGGGACCGCAAGGCCUCAUGCUAUAGGAGCGGCCGAUGUCUGAUUAGCUAGUUGGGGAGGUAAAGGCUCACCAAGGCGACGAUCAGUAGCUGGUCUGAGAGGACGAUCAGCCACACUGGGACUGAGACACGGCCCAGACUCCUACGGGAGGCAGCAGUGGGGAAUUUUGGACAAUGGGCGAAAGCCUGAUCCAGCAAUGCCGCGUGUGUGAAGAAGGCCUUCGGGUUGUAAAGCACUUUUGUCCGGAAAGAAAUGGCUCUGGUUAAUACCUGGGGUCGAUGACGGUACCGGAAGAAUAAGGACCGGCUAACUACGUG
This 490-nucleotide ribosomal RNA is filed under the name uncultured bacterium. RNAcentral describes it as "partial 16S ribosomal RNA". It matches the Rfam family "Bacterial small subunit ribosomal RNA", at positions 30 to 507 of the family's 1533-position model. The record is from RNAcentral.